Molecule: long non-coding RNA, 909 nt
Organism: Amphibalanus amphitrite
Lineage: Eukaryota; Metazoa; Arthropoda; Thecostraca; Balanomorpha; Balanidae
Exons: 3
Source: RefSeq, a predicted model, not a curated record
UCAAGCCUAUCAUGAUCUGAAGCUGUUGUAACAAAUCAAAAUUGCUUUGAUGUUCCAUAGUACCUUGUUGGAAAGACUGGAGCAUGGUUCAAGAUGAUGUGUAAAAAUUCAAGAUUUGUGCAAAAGCUUACGACUGAAGAGUGAAAACAGUUCUAUAUGAUGGCUCAAUCAAAUGUGGAAAUGGACGACAAAAGUAGAGUUUCAACAUUCGAGCAUACGCACGGUCGGUUAAUACCGUCCGUCGAAUGCCGUCCCCCGUUGGACCGACCAACAGCACGGUCCCUGGUGCAGUCGGUAACUUCACCAACACCUUGCCUGGUGACACGGUCACUGAUGCUGCGGAGAAUAUCACCAGCACCAAGCCGUCCUUAGCUAACAGUACCAGCUCCGGAAACACAGCCGAGGAACGAAAUAGUUCUCCAUUGGUCGAAUCAGAGCGGAGAGCAGCCCAGUCGUUGAAUGGCACGUCUGCAAAGCAGUCCAACGGGACCAACGCUGAAAGUCGGGUGAUUGCGAUUACUGACGACGGUCUAGUUCGAGAGAAAAUUCAAUCGUCGAAUCGAUUGGUAAAUGAAACGACGACGGCAAGAACAAACGAGACACAGGCCUCGACCAACGGAACAGACUUUACAAUAGAACACAAGGUAACAUCUAAUGAACAUUUGUUGCGAAAGUUCAAAGUAAAACUCGGUUCUAAAACAGCCUCAAACAAACAGCUUUGGAAGAAGUUGUUUGGGGGCACUGCGGCAAAGAAGAACGCUGGGCCACCGAGCAGCGCCCAGCCUUCUCGGCCGAGAAAACGUUACAGAGGCCGGACAACGAUCAGACUCGGAUAGAUUAACCACAAAUGUCAAAAUCCAUAAUCUGUGAAAUACAUGACCAACUCGCAAGGAAUAAAAAUUCACCUAU